GACGAACGCUGGCGGCGUGCUUAACACAUGCAAGUCGAACGGAAAGGCCCUGCUUUUGUGGGGUGCUCGAGUGGCGAACGGGUGAGUGACACGUGAGUAACCUGCCCUUGACUUUGGGAUAACUUCAGGAAACUGGGGCUAAUACCGGAUAGGAGCUCCUGCUGCAUGGUGGGGGUUGGAAAGUUUCGGCGGUUGGGGAUGGACUCGCGGCUUAUCAGCUUGUUGGUGGGGUAGUGGCUACCAAGGCUUUGACGGGUAGCCGGCCUGAGAGGGUGACCGGCCACAUUGGGACUGAGAUACGGCCCAGACUCCUACGGGAGGCAGCAGUGGGGAAUAUUGCACAAUGGGCGGAAGCCUGAUGCAGAAACGCCGCGUGCGGGAUGACGGCCUUCGGGUUGUAAACCGCUUUCGCCUGUGACGAAGCGUGAGUGACGGUAAUGGGUAAAGAAGCACCGGCUAACUACGUG
Molecule: ribosomal RNA, 467 nt
Filed under: uncultured bacterium
Lineage: Bacteria
Description: partial 16S ribosomal RNA
Rfam family: Bacterial small subunit ribosomal RNA
Source: RNAcentral